ACGGGUGAGUAAUAUAUCGGAACGUGCCCAAUCGUGGGGGAUAACGUAGAGAAAUUUACGCUAAUAUCGCAUACGAUCUAAGGAUGAAAGCGGGGGAUCGCAAGACCUCGCGCGAUUGGAGCGGCUGAUAUCAGAUUAGGUUGUUGGUGAGGUAAAAGCUCACCAAGCCGACGAUCUGUAGCUGGUUUGAGAGAACGACCAGCCACACUGGGACUGAGACACGGCCCAGACUCCUACGGGAGGCAGCAGUGGGGAAUUUUGGACAAUGGGCGAAAGCCUGAUCCAGCAAUGCCGCGUGCAGGAAGAAGGCCUUCGGGUUGUAAACUGCUUUUGUACGGAACGAAACGGCUCUUUCUAAUAAAGAGGGCUAAUGACGGUACCGUAAGAAUAAGCACCGGCUAACUACGUGCCAGCAGCCGCGGUAAUACGUAGGGUGCGAGCGUUAAUCGGAAUUACUGGGCGUAAAGCGUGCGCAGGCGGUUAUAUAAGACAGUUGUGAAAUCCCCGGGCUCAACCUGGGAAUUGCAUCUGUGACUGUAUAGCUAGAGUACGGUAGAGGGGGAUGGAAUUCCGCGUGUAGCAGUGAAA
RNAcentral lists this ribosomal RNA (588 nucleotides) under uncultured bacterium. RNAcentral describes it as "bacterial SSU rRNA". It matches the Rfam family "Bacterial small subunit ribosomal RNA", at positions 102 to 686 of the family's 1533-position model. The record is from RNAcentral.